ACGGGAGGCAGCAGUGGGGAAUAUUGGGCAAUGGGGGGAAACCCUGACCCAUCAACGCCGCGUGACGUACGAAGUCCUUCGGGUUGUAAACUUCUUUUACCAGGGACGAUAAUGACGGUACCUGGAGAAAAAGCAACGGCUAACUACGUGCCAGCAGCCGCGGUAAUACGUAGGUUGCAAGCGUUGUCCGGAUUUACUGGGUGUAAAGGGCGUGUAGGCGGAGCUGCAAGUCAGAUGUGAAAUCCCGGGGCUCAACCCCGGAACUGCAUUUGAAACUGUAGCCCUUGAGUAUCGGAGAGGCAAGCGGAAUUCCGAGUGUAGCGGUGAAAUGCGUAGAUAUUAGGAGGAACACCAGUGGCGAAGGCGGCUUGCUGGACGACAACUGACGCUGAGGCGCGAAAGCGUGGGGAGCAAGCAGGAUUAGAUACCCUGGUA
RNAcentral lists this ribosomal RNA (435 nucleotides) under uncultured Oscillospiraceae bacterium. Its description in RNAcentral is "partial 16S ribosomal RNA". It matches the Rfam family "Bacterial small subunit ribosomal RNA", at positions 341 to 792 of the family's 1533-position model. Lineage: Bacteria; Bacillati; Bacillota; Clostridia; Eubacteriales; Oscillospiraceae. The record is from RNAcentral.